UCUCUCGAGUGCGUCCGGAGAAGACAAGC
Molecule: non-coding RNA, 29 nt
Filed under: Mus musculus (house mouse)
Lineage: Eukaryota; Metazoa; Chordata; Mammalia; Rodentia; Muridae
Source: RNAcentral